AGGAGGAGGAGGAGGAGAAAAGAAGAAGAAGAAUAAGAAGAAGAAGAAGAAGAAGAAGAAGAAGAAGAAGAAGAAGAAGAAGAAGAAGAAGAAGAAGAAGAAGAAGAAGAAGAAGAAGAAGAAGAAGAAGAAGAAGAAUCAAGUUAUGGGAGAGCAGCCACUGUCCCUGCCCCGCCCCCUCAGCCCUUGGGGCCCAAGGGGAAGCUAUUCCUGGAGAAGGCUGGCUCUAGAGGGAUGGUACGCGAAGGAAGGUGGUCCUGACACUAAAACGGGAAGAGUUUGUGUGAAGAGGUCAGAUGAGGUGGAUUUCUGCCUACAUGGCUCCAGGUCAUCGGCUGCGCCGCAUGACCAUCUUGUUGAAUACUUCUGGCCAGAGCUCACAGGCACUGCCUACAUACUGAUACGGAUUAUCCUUCAAACAGUACCCAGGAGCAGUUACUAUACCUGCGUUGUAAACGACAAAACAGGUUGUAUGACUCACCCAAGGUGAACAGCUAGGAGGCACCCGAUAAUUUAAAAACAUUUUUCUUUAUACUAAAUCGUUUCAAAUAUCCAACCCAGCCUUUUCUUCAAUCACUUUCUAUCUGUCUCUCAUUGUCUUAGGUGCUCUUUUCCCUCCCCCUAGGAAGGAGCUUCGGAGUUGUAGGAUGCCACGUUCCAAGCUACGUUCCACCGGCAGCGGGGAGCAUUCUCUUUCGUCCUCUGCUGCCGAGAGCUCCCUUGAGGGCUGACCCCCGCCCCCAAUCCAAUCCAAGGGCAGAGUACCUAACUCUGGAAGGGAGGUUUGGCUGGUUGGAGGGGAAAGCUUGCCUGCGGACUAAGAGAUGAGGUCUUUGUGAAGAGCUAUGGGGUAGCGGAGAAGGUGCCAGCCGCUAGAAUCGCCUUUAGCUCCUUAUCAAAUAUUAACACGCCUCUACCGCUACCUCCCACCUAGAAGAAUAAUUAAGAGCUCGGUCUCACCAUUAAUCUUUAAACGAAAAUCACCUUGUCUGGAAAGACCGGCUGGGCUGGGGACUUGGGUCCUGGGAUGCCCCCCGCCAGGCUCCCAAUCCAGCGCUGGGGGCUGGGGAGAAGGGAGGGAGCUUGCAGCUCUGAGGCCAGGAACCCAAGGUGGGGAGAGAGGAACGCCGGGACCCCAAAACAUCCAACCUGCUGCGUUUGCUCUGGGCGGGCAACAGCUACCGGCUCAGAGUCCCUGCAGGUGGCCACUGGCCACCCAGGGGCAGACCCAGGAGAACCAAG
This 1242-nucleotide long non-coding RNA is filed under the name Cricetulus griseus (Chinese hamster). RNAcentral describes it as "lncRNA (ENSCGRG00000026231.1)". Lineage: Eukaryota; Metazoa; Chordata; Mammalia; Rodentia; Cricetidae. The record is from RNAcentral.